UACGGAGGGUGCAAGCGUUAAUCGGAAUCACUGGGCGUAAAGCGCACGUAGGCUGUUUGGUAAGUCAGACGUGAAAGCCCUCGGCUCAACCGAGGAACUGCGUUUGAAACUGCUGAACUUGAGUGCCGGAGAGGGUGGCGGAAUUCCAGGUGUAGGAGUGAAAUCCGUAGAUAUCUGGAGGAACACCGGUGGCGAAGGCGGCCACCUGGACGGUAACUGACGCUGAGGUGCGAAAGCGUGGGGAGCAAAC
Molecule: ribosomal RNA, 250 nt
Filed under: uncultured bacterium
Lineage: Bacteria
Description: partial 16S ribosomal RNA
Rfam family: Bacterial small subunit ribosomal RNA
Source: RNAcentral